GACCAAGGAGUUUAGCAUAUGCGCAAGCUAUUGGGUGGUAAACCCGUUCAAAAGACACAAUGAAAGUAAAGAUCAUUAUUGUUUUGAUUGUUAUGUGAUCCGUAUUGUUGUUAAUACAAUACGGCGCAACAUGGCCCCGUCCAUGUUUAGCUCUUUGAGCAAACGGGGCGGAGAUAGAGCGUAUACGCUGAGACCCGAAAGAUGGUGAACUAUGCCUGAGCAGGAUGAAGCCAGAGGAAACUCUGGUGGAGGUCCGAAGCGAUUCUGACGUGCAAAUCGAUCGUCCGACUUGGGUAUAGGGGCGAAAGACUAAUCGAACUAUCUAGUAGCUGGUUCCCUCUGAAGUUUCCCCCAGGAUAGCUGGAGUACAGCAAAAGCACAGUUAUAUUCGGUAAAGCGAAUGAUUAGAGGAAUUGGGAACGAAACGUUCUCAACCUAUUCUCAAACUUUCAAUGGGUAUGAAGUUUCGCUUGCUUAACACAUUUUGAAGCGAUAACAUUGAAUGUGUGCUCCAAGUGGGCCAUUUUUGGUAAGCAGAACUGGCGCUGUGGGAUGAACCAAACGUUGAGUUAAAGUGUCAAACUUCCCGCUCAUGAGACCCCAUGAAAGGCGUUGGUUGAUAUAGACAGCAGGACGGUGGCCAU
This 644-nucleotide non-coding RNA is filed under the name Gongylonema pulchrum. RNAcentral describes it as "Eukaryotic large subunit ribosomal RNA". It matches the Rfam family "Eukaryotic large subunit ribosomal RNA", at positions 664 to 1255 of the family's 3401-position model. Lineage: Eukaryota; Metazoa; Nematoda; Chromadorea; Rhabditida; Gongylonematidae. The record is from Rfam by way of RNAcentral.